CGCCUGAGGAUUCACCAAGGGUCUUACCCCAGGUACUUGAGGAAGAGAUCUUCCACCGCCCUCGGAAGCUGGUGCCUCUCCGUCGUAGUUAUAAUCCUCGUGGCCAUAAUUUUGCAUGGCUGAUCGGACCGGAUGAUCAACGGCGCUCCCACGACUGUCAAUCCCUUUAGCGGAGUGUCAAAUCGAUGGCUGACCGUGUGCCACCUUCUCGGCAAUCAAUAGACGAGCCAGGACGCUUGCGCAACCCUCAGCUACCCCCAACUACCCUCGAGCAUUCCCUCAGCCGUGGAAUGUGAAAUUCGAGCAAAAUCUUGGAGAGAACUUCGGCCCGGAUCACGUAAUCGACUUUGCAACUUUCAUCUGGCUCCCGUCGAAAACAUUGACUUUGCGCAAACCUGAAUCUAAGAUAAAAGUUCUACGCAAUCAGUUCCAGUACAAAGUU
Cephus cinctus (wheat stem sawfly) is the source of this 442-nucleotide long non-coding RNA. RefSeq lists it as uncharacterized. The transcript has 3 exons. The record is from RefSeq and is a predicted model, not a curated record. NCBI's taxonomy places the organism in Eukaryota, Metazoa, Arthropoda, Insecta, Hymenoptera, Cephidae.